RNAcentral lists this ribosomal RNA (338 nucleotides) under uncultured bacterium. RNAcentral describes it as "bacterial SSU rRNA". It matches the Rfam family "Bacterial small subunit ribosomal RNA", at positions 1 to 334 of the family's 1533-position model. The record is from RNAcentral.
CACGUACUAUCAGAGUUUGAUCCUGGCUCAGGACGAACGCUGGCGGCGUGCUUAACACAUGCAAGUCGAACGGGGUAAGUUCCUUCGGGGAUUACUUAGUGGCGAACGGGUGAGUAACGCGUGAGGAACCUGCCUUUCAGUGGGGGACAACAGUUGGAAACGACUGCUAAUACCGCAUAACAUGUACGGACCGCAUGAUCUGUACAUCAAAGCUUUAUGUGCUGAAAGAUGGCCUCGCGUCUGAUUAGAUAGUUGGUGGGGUAACGGCCCACCAAGUCGACGAUCAGUAGCCGGACUGAGAGGUUGAACGGCCACAUUGGGACUGAGAUACGGCCCAG